Molecule: long non-coding RNA, 2048 nt
Organism: Anser cygnoides (Swan goose)
Lineage: Eukaryota; Metazoa; Chordata; Aves; Anseriformes; Anatidae
Source: Ensembl
UUCAGCUCCGGUUUCUGAAAUUGGAGGAAAAAACGGGUCAAAAACUGGUCGAAAACGCCCUCCCGUCUUCCCUCGUUAGCCGAGGGUAAUUAAAAUUGUUCGAACUCACCCUCGUCAGCUGGAAACUGUUAAAAUCCCCCCUCUGGGUCCUCUCCACGGGCCAACGCCACCUCUUGUAACGCUCCUCUUGGCCUCAAAAGCUCUUGGUCGACCCUCAGCCUCUCGAUAAUCACCUGAGGACGCGUUAACGAAGCCCAAUUAGCGAUAACGACCUCUUUGCGGCGCCUUUUUCCCCAAAAACCGCGUUUUUUCUCCUACUAAUUCGUCUUUUUUGGCCUCGCCAGACCUCCCGGGCCCGCCGGGCCUUCUGCUGGACCCCCCGUCGGGCGAAGUGAGGGCCGGGGACACCCUGGCGGUGACGUGCGCGGCCAACGGCACCGGCGGGGGCGAGCGGAGGUUUUACUUCUACAAGGACGGCGCCGAGCAGUUUUCGGAGGCGGGAGCCCGGGACCGGGCCCUCCUCAGCCUCCCCGUGGCCAAAAGCACGGCCGGGAGCUUCUCCUGCAGGUACGAGGAGAGGGUCGGCGACCGGUGGGUCCCGUCGCCGCUCAGCCACGCCGCGGUGGUCACCGUCAGAGCCGCGGCCCUGCCCGUCCCGCUGGUGGCCGGCUGCGGUGCCGCCGCCGCUGCGCUGCUCCUGGGGCUGCUCCUGGCCGUCUGCUACUGCCAGAGGAGGAGAGGGAGGGCCCACUGGAAAGGUCUCUACAACAAGGAGGACCCCAGCACUUACCCCAUGACCGGCGUCGACAGGAGCGAGCCCUGACCUCGAGAGGAGCCCGGCGCGGGCGGGAGGCCCCCGACCCCUCCUCCGAUAGGGUUCGGGGAGAGGAAAAAGCCCUCUUCUCUUCUUUUUUCCCCCAAAAAUUUCACCCCGACGUCGGCUUCGGAGGGCGCCCCCUCAAUAAACCACGCCCCGGACCCCAGCGGCCUCGGCAGCUCCUUCGCAAGCUCCGGGGUGGCCAAGAUGGCCGACGCGAGCCCCGGGGUGGCCAAAAUGGCCGACGCGAGCCCAAGGGGGGGGGGAUGAGUGGCCAAGAUGGCCAACGGGGCACGGAAGCAACCGUUGGGUUGGGUUGGGUUGAAGGGUCUCCAUUGGUUGGGUUGGGUUGGAAGAGGCGGCGCGGCCUCGGUUGCCCAAGGGGAUGAUUAGAAAUCAUUUUGGGGCGAAAAACGGUCGUUUUCGGUCUCCGUUGGCCAAGGGGGCGAUGGGAAUUUGGGGAGCGGGAAGGGGAAGGUCGGAGGCGGCUGUUGGGCACCGGCAUCGCGGGAGGUCGCGCCCCAAAACGGGCUUUUUUCCCCCAAAAUGGCCUCCUGGACCCCCAAAAUACCUUCCCACCUCCCAAGACAGCCUCUUACACCCCGAAACCCUUUUCACAGUCCCAAGUGACCCCCGUUCCUCCAAUAUGGCCUUUUUUUGCCCCAAAACGGCCUCCUGCACCCCCAAAAUUGCCUAAUUUGCCCCAAAACGGCCUCCUUUGCCCCCAAAAUGGCCUCCCACACCCCAAAAUGGUCUCUUUUGCCCCAAAACGGUCUCCCAUGGCCCAAAAUAACCUCCCAACCCCCCGAAAUCCUCCUUACGCCCCCAAGUGGCCCCUGUACCCCAAAAAUGGCCUCUUUUGCCCCAAAACGGCCUCCGGGACCCCCCAAAAUGGCCUCUAAUACCCCAAAAUGGCCACUUUUGCCCCAAAACAGCCUCCUAUACCCCAAAAUGGCCUCAUGGACCUCCUAAAUAGCCUCCCACACCCUAAAAAUGCUUCAUGCCCACCCCAGUGCCCCCUUGUACCCAAAAAUGGCCUCUUUUGCCCCAAAACGGCCUCCUGAACCCCUAAAAUUCCCUAAUUUGCCCCAAAAUGGCGUCCCGCACCCCAAACAGCCCCCGUUUGCCCCAAAACGCCCUUCUGGACCCCCAAACAGCCCCCCCCGCACCCCAAAAUCCCCUCUUUUCCCCCAAAACGCCGCCUUUUGCCCAAAACCGCCCGUUUUUCCCC